This 213-nucleotide long non-coding RNA is filed under the name Elaeis guineensis (African oil palm). RNAcentral describes it as "long non-coding RNA (EGUI_LNC022793)". The record is from RNAcentral. Lineage: Eukaryota; Viridiplantae; Streptophyta; Magnoliopsida; Arecales; Arecaceae.
UGUGCCUGGAUAUCUGGUGAGACCUAGGCUCCUUAGCAAAGACUAUGGUGCUAUUAUCUUUGCAGUAUAGUGUCACGGCAUCUGAUGGCGUAAUGUCCAAUUCUGCAACUAACAUUAGAACCAAAAUGCAUCCUACACAUCUACAGUGUGCUCAGCUUCCAUCGAUCGAUUAUUUGAAACUCUUUAAAGAUAUCGACAUAGAAACACACCCCA